ACCCGUUGAUCCUGCGGGAGAUUGCUGCUAUCGGGAUUCGACUUAGACAUGCAAGUCUGGCGCAAGCCGGCGAAAGGCUCAGUAACACGUUGGUAAUCUGCCCUAUGGUCAAGGACACCCACGGGAAACUGUGGUUAAACCUUGAUAGGAGAUUGUUUCUGGAACGAUCUUUCUCUGAAACUCGUGCCAUAGGAUGAGCCAGCGGCUGAUUAGGCUGUUGGUGGGGUAAUGGCCCACCAAACCGACGAUCAGUACGGGCCAUGAGAGUGGUAGCCCGGAGAGGGACACUGAGAUACUGGUCCCAGCCCUACGGGGUGCAGCAGUUACGAAACCUUUACCAUGCACGCAAGUGUGAUAAGGGGAUCCUGAGUGCUUAUGCAAUGCAUAGGCUUUUGUUAACUGUAAAUAGGUUAGCGAAUAAGUGGUGGGUAAGACUGGUGCCAGCCGCCGCGGUAACACCAGCGCCACGAGCGGCAAUCGCGUUUAUUGGGCCUAAAGCGUCCGUAGCCGGUUUAGUAAAUCCUUUGUGAAAUUGUUGCGCUUAACGUAACAGCAUGCAGGGGACACUGCUAGACUUGAGACCGGGAGGAGCCAGAAGUAUUCUGGGGGGAUCGGUAAAAUGAAUUAAUCCUCGGAAGACUACCAAUGGCGAAGGCAUCUGGCCAGAACGGAUCUGACGGUGAGGGACGAAAGCUAGGGGAGCGAACCGGAUUAGAUACCCGAGUAGUCCUAGCUGUAAACGCUGCGAGCAAGGUGUUGCGUAUUCUACGGGAAUACGCAGUGUCGAAGAGAAGUCGUUAAGCUCGCCGCCUGGGAAGUACGAUCGCAAGGCUGAAACUUUAAGGAAUUGGCGGGGGAGCACCACAAGGGGUGCGGCGUGCGGUUUAAUCUAACUCAACGCAGAAAACCUUACUAGAGGCGACGGCAGAAUGAAGGUCAGCCUGAAGGGCUUACCCAACAAGCCGAGAGGUGGUGCAUGGCCGCCGUCAGCUCGUGCUGUAAGGUGUCCUCUUAAGUGAGGCAACGAGCGAGACCUGUAUCUACAAUUGCUAACAGCCUUGUUAGGGACUGAGCACAUUGUAGAGACUGCCCUGGAAACAGGGAGGAAGGUGCAGGCUACGGUAGGUCUGUAUGCCCCGAAUCCUCUAGGCUACACGCGCGCAACAAUGGCAGCGACAAUGGGAUGCAACUCCGAAAGGAGAAGCUAAUCCUCGAAACGCUGUCUCAGUAUAGAUCGAGGGUUGCAACUCACCCUCGUGACAAUGGAAUCCCUAGUAAUCAGAAGUCAUCAUCUUCUGGUGAAUAUGUCCCUGCUCCUUGCACACACCGCCCGUCAAACCAACCGAGCAGGGUUUAGGUGAACCCACUAUUAAUUUGGGUGAAUCUAAGCUCAGUGAGGUGGGUUAAGUCGUCACAAGGUA
This 1421-nucleotide ribosomal RNA is filed under the name metagenome. Its description in RNAcentral is "bacterial SSU rRNA". It matches the Rfam family "Archaeal small subunit ribosomal RNA". The record is from RNAcentral.